CAUUAAAAAUUUCAUUUAAUUAUACUGUUAAAAAUUUACGUGAUUAAGAAUAACCAAACAAUUGACAUGUUAUAUGUACCUCAUUUUGAUGUAUAGGAAUCAAUUUUUUAACCAUAAAAAUGAAUGAGAUUUUUGACA
Non-coding RNA from Gossypium raimondii (Peruvian cotton), 138 nucleotides. The record is from Rfam. NCBI's taxonomy places the organism in Eukaryota, Viridiplantae, Streptophyta, Magnoliopsida, Malvales, Malvaceae.